AGUGAACGCUGGCGGUAGGCCUAACUCAUGCAAGUCGAACGGCAGCACAGUAAGAGCUUGCUCUUACGGGUGGCGAGUGGCGGACGGGUGAGGAAUACAUCGGAAUCUACUUUUUCGUGGGGGAUAACGUAGGGAAACUUACGCUAAUACCGCAUACGACCUACGGGUGAAAGCAGGGGAUCUUCGGACCUUGCGCGAUUGAAUGAGCCGAUGUCGGAUUAGCUGGUUGGCGGGGUAAAGGCCCACCAAGGCGACGAUCCGUAGCUGGUCUGAGAGGAUGAUCAGCCACACUGGAACUGAGACACGGUCCAGACUCCUACGGGAGGCAGCAGUGGGGAAUAUUGGACAAUGGGCGCAAGCCUGAUCCAGCCAUACCGCGUGGGUGAAGAAGGCCUUCGGGUUGUAAAGCCCUUUUGUUGGGAAAGAAAAGCAGCAGGUUAAUACCCCGCUGUUCUGACGGUACCCAAAGAAUAAGCACCGGCUAACUUCGUG
This 492-nucleotide ribosomal RNA is filed under the name uncultured bacterium. RNAcentral describes it as "partial 16S ribosomal RNA". It matches the Rfam family "Bacterial small subunit ribosomal RNA", at positions 29 to 507 of the family's 1533-position model. The record is from RNAcentral.